Non-coding RNA from Odocoileus virginianus texanus, 900 nucleotides. NCBI's taxonomy places the organism in Eukaryota, Metazoa, Chordata, Mammalia, Artiodactyla, Cervidae. The record is from RefSeq and is a predicted model, not a curated record.
GACCACCGCCCGGGUGCCGACCGAUGGACUGCGGACGCCGGCUGGGUGGAACGACGUCACCGACGCGGAUGGACAGAUUGGCCGGCCACAGGAAGAGACAGUCGGGGGGCCGGGGGCCCAGUAAAGAAGGCGAAACCGAGCUCCUCCCAGCUCCUCAGAGCCUCAACUCAGGAUCUGACUUCUGGAUUCUGCUCCUUUGCCCGGGCACCUCCUUCAGGAAGACUUCUCUAAUCGACCCUGCACAACCGCAGCACCCUCCUCACCUCAAAGGAGCCCCUCACUUGACAGUGGCAAGGGGCUGGGUUCUGGGGAAGUUGCCUCUACUAGGAAUUUAUAUAUUCCCGCAUUUGGCUCUGGCUUACAUGGUACAACUGGGGAUGUUACAAGUCCUUUGAGAUGCAAUCAGGUUAACAGAGCAGCAAACCUUUCCACCGAGAAAAGGAUUUCUCUUUAAAAAUGUCAUUACCAUUCUUAAACAAGUCUCAGCGCAGCUAGGGUCCCCACUUUGGUAGAUGCCGUUGCUGCUCAGUCGAACAGCGGUAGGAGGGCUGUUUGAGGGGGAACAUUGCUCUGAACAAUCCCUGUUUCCCUCGCCCACCAUCUUUGCCCUGUGUGGGUGCCUGCCUGCGGCCCCUCAGAAAGAUAAUGGUCUGCUGGCUCCCAGGGGACACACCUCUUUCUCAGGAAGAGGGGUUGACCACAUAAAAAUAAUAAAUUUUAAAUGAAAGAUUAAAUUGAUUCAAAUUAACUUGAUUCAAAUAUCUUGAUGGUAGACGGAAGGGGGCCACAUGGACUCACACCUAACCUAGAACUUGUAGAAUUCCACAAAAUGAACGCAUAUGGAGUCCGUUCCCUGUUGUAUACAUUCAGGAAGAAUAAACCUCCGUGAUGUGAGACAAG